CGGGUGAGUAACACAUCGGAACGUGCCCAGUAGUGGGGGAUAGCCCGGCGAAAGCCGGAUUAAUACCGCAUACGACCUACGGGUGAAAGCGGGGGAUCGCAAGACCUCGCGCUAUUGGAGCGGCCGAUGUCGGAUUAGCUUGUUGGUGGGGUAAUGGCCUACCAAGGCGACGAUCGGUAGCUGGUCUGAGAGGAUGAUCAGCCACACUGGGACUGAGACACGGCCCAG
This 228-nucleotide ribosomal RNA is filed under the name uncultured bacterium. RNAcentral's name for it is "partial 16S ribosomal RNA". It matches the Rfam family "Bacterial small subunit ribosomal RNA", at positions 103 to 334 of the family's 1533-position model. The record is from RNAcentral.